CAGGACGAACGCUGGCGGCGUGCUUCAUACAUGCAAGUCGAACGAUAAGGUCUCUUCGGAGAUACAUAAGUGGCGGACGGGUGAGUAAAAUGUAGAGAAUCUGCCCUAGAGUGGGGGACAACAGUUGGAAACGACUGCUAAUACCGCAUAUGAGCGUAGCUGAAAUGCUAUUCUUGGAAACUCCGGUGCUCUGGGAUGAGUCUGCAUCUGAUUAGCUAGUUGGGGGUGUAAUGGACCACCAAGGCGACGAUCAGUAGCUGGUUUGAGAGGAUGAUCAGCCACAAUGGGACUGAGACACGGCCCAUACUCCUACGGGAGGCAGCAGUAGGGAAUUUUGCGCAAUGGGGGAAACCCUGACGCAGCAACGCCGCGUGACCGAUGAAGCCCUUCGGGGUGUAAAGGUCUGUCAGUGGGGACGAAACUUGACGGUACCCACAGAGGAAGCAUCGGCUAACUCCGUGCCAGCCGCCGC
Molecule: ribosomal RNA, 472 nt
Filed under: uncultured bacterium
Lineage: Bacteria
Description: bacterial SSU rRNA
Rfam family: Bacterial small subunit ribosomal RNA
Source: RNAcentral